CCUACGGGUGGCAGCAGUGAGGAAUAUUGGUCAAUGGACGAGAGCCUGAACCAGCCAAGCAGCGUGAAGGAUGACUGCCCUAUGGGUUGAAAGCUCUUUCUACAUGGGAAUAAAAUGUUCCACGUGUGAGCUUUUCUAUGUACCAUAUGAAUAGGGAUCGGCUCACGCCGUUCCAGCAGCCCCGGUCCUACGGAGGAUGCGAUCGUUAUCCGGAUUUAUUGUGUUUAACGGGAGCGUAGGUGGAUUGUUAAGUCAGUUGUGAAAGGUUGUGGCUCAACCGUAGAAUUGCAGUUGAAACUGGCAGUCUUGAGUACAGUAGAGGUGGGCAGAAUUCGUGGUGUAGCGGUGAAAUGCGUAGAGAUCACGAAGAACACCGAUGGCGAAGGCAGUUCACUGGACUGCAACUGACGCUGAGGCUCGAAAGUGUGGGGAGCAAACAGGAUUAGAUACCCGAGUAGUC
Molecule: ribosomal RNA, 460 nt
Filed under: uncultured bacterium
Lineage: Bacteria
Description: partial 16S ribosomal RNA
Rfam family: Bacterial small subunit ribosomal RNA
Source: RNAcentral